This 253-nucleotide ribosomal RNA is filed under the name uncultured bacterium. Its description in RNAcentral is "partial 16S ribosomal RNA". It matches the Rfam family "Bacterial small subunit ribosomal RNA", at positions 524 to 776 of the family's 1533-position model. The record is from RNAcentral.
CACGUAGGGCGCAAGCGUUGUCCGGAAUUAUUGGGCGUAAAGAGCUCGUAGGCGGUCUGUUGCGUCCGCUGUGAAAACCCGGGGCUUAACCCCUGGCUUGCAGUGGAUACGGACAGACUAGAGGUAGGUAGGGGAGAAUGGAAUUCCCGGUGUAGCGGUGAAAUGCGCAGAUAUCGGGAGGAACACCGGUGGCGAAGGCGGGUCUCUGGGCAACAACUGACGCUGAGGAGCGAAAGCGUGGGGAGCGAACAGG